This 395-nucleotide unclassified non-coding RNA is filed under the name soil metagenome. RNAcentral describes it as "partial contains 5.8S ribosomal RNA, internal transcribed spacer 2, and large subunit ribosomal RNA". The stretch from base 1 to 122 matches the Rfam family "5.8S ribosomal RNA", at positions 35 to 154 of the family's 154-position model. The record is from RNAcentral.
GAUGAAGAACGCAGUGAAAUGCGAUACUUGGUGUGAAUUGCAGAAUCCCGUGAACCAUCGAGUCUUUGAACGCAAGUUGCGCCCGAGGCCUCCUGGUCGAGGGCACGUCUGCCUGGGUGUCACGCAUCGUCGCCCUCUCUCCCCUCGGCUCGCGAGGGCGGGGGCGGAUACUGGUCUCCCGCGCGCUCCCGCUCGCGGUUGGCCCAAAAUCGAGUCCUCGGCGACGGUCGCCACGACGAGCGGUGGUUGAGAGACCCUCGGACACGGUCGUGCGCGCGCCUGUCGCCCCCGGGAUCUCCUGGACCCUCGGGCAUCGAAAUUCUAGGAUGCUCUCGUUGCGACCCCAGGUCAGGCGGGACUACCCGCUGAGUUUAAGCAUAUCAAUAAGCGGAGGA